AAUGAACGUUGGCGGCGUGGAUUAGGCAUGCGAGUCGCGCGAGAAUGUAGCAAUACAGGAAAGCGGCGAAAGGGAGAGGACAACAUGGGAAUCUGCCCGGGGACGAGGAUAGCGUCGGGAAACUGACGGUAAUACUCGAUAAUGUUUGCGGACCAAAGGUGAGAUUCCGCCCCUGGAUGAGCCCAUGCCCCAUUAGCUUGUUGGCGGUGUAAUAGACCACCAAGGCGAUGAUGGGUAGCUGGUGUGAGAGCACGACCAGCCUCACUGGCACUGAGACACUGGCCAGACACCUACGGGUGGCUGCAGUCGAGAAUCUUCGGCAAUGGACGAAAGUCUGACCGAGCGACGCCGCGUGCGGGACGAAGGCCUUCGGGUUGUAAACCGCGUGUCGUAGUAGGAUCAAAGGUAAUU
Molecule: ribosomal RNA, 411 nt
Filed under: uncultured bacterium
Lineage: Bacteria
Description: bacterial SSU rRNA
Rfam family: Bacterial small subunit ribosomal RNA
Source: RNAcentral